This is a long non-coding RNA of Priapulus caudatus, 1329 nucleotides long. RefSeq lists it as uncharacterized. NCBI's taxonomy places the organism in Eukaryota, Metazoa, Priapulida, Priapulimorpha, Priapulimorphida, Priapulidae. The transcript is spliced from 3 exons. The record is from RefSeq and is a predicted model, not a curated record.
GCAGGGCAUCGGCAACGUGGAACGACACGACGACAUCCCCGGCAGCAGCAGUUCGACGGCAGCCCAGGGCAUCGGCAACACUUCUUUGGGAGUUCUGACUGAGAUUCAGCUGCCACCAAGGAUAAAGAGAAGGGGUCGCCCUAAAGGGGCACAACUGACAGUGGCUGGUCUCCCAAGAAAGAGCCAAAGGCAUGGGAAGUUGUUCAGCAAGAAGCACCCCCAAGAGAAGAGCAAAAUUAUCCUAAACUGGCUGGUUGGGGCAGAUGCAGCUGAAAAGGCCCUGAGAGGACAUGUUCUACUAGACGAGAGUGAAGUGGAAACCAAGCCAGAAAAUAUACCCAGUGCCAUUCUGGAUGAGAACGUAGAUGUUCUCAGUGUUAAAUUGUUCUUCACAGUAGAUGCGUGGCUAGUGGUAGAUGAUGUAUUAAAACAGAAGAAAAGUAACCCACAAUAUGCAUGCCCGAUAUGUUCUAAAUAUUUUAAUGAAGAUGAGGAAGAGAUAUCACUCUGUUGCGAUGGCUGCCUAAACUGGCAUCACCUAGCUUGCCUUCGCAAAAAACAACAACCACAUUCUAAAUGCUGGAUAUGCAAUGCAUGUCGUAGCCAGUGAUAUCAGCAGGCAAAAAAUGAUAGAUCUUUUUGGUUGGAUAAGUUUUGGUCAGAUUGGCAACCCUGUAUUUCAAAUAUUCAAUUUCAAAUUCAAUUUCAAAUUCACAAUGAGACUGUAAUAAGAAGCAAUGUUGAAAGUAACCCUAACCCUAACCCUAAGAAGCAAUGUUCACAUACUAAUCUUGUUAAGAUAUACUAACCUUGUUAAGACUAAACUAGUUGUGAUUGCAUUGUGCUGUUUAAUUUGUAAUAAACUGAUUGAUUGGAAUUUGUUGCAUAAGUAUUUUAUAUAUUCUGAGCAUUACUGUUAUUGCACAACAUUUAAAAAGGUUUGCAUAAUGAUAAUACAGACAACCUCAUUUAAUUCAUAUCAGACGGUACCACGGCAUUUUCAACAAAUUACGUAAUCAACGAAUUAGACCUCAUUCAUAUUUUCUACAAAUUCUAUGUAAUCCGUAAAAACCACGAAAUAGAUAGAUAAUUCGUGUAAACAACGAUUUAUGAAUGAAAGUUUUUACAAAGUUAUUUGUACAUAGCUGAACAGCUGGAUCACGCGUUCGCUCGUACGCACUUGUGUAACAUCUGUUAUUACAUACCAACUACGUCCCUACACUUGCUGUAUGCUACAUAAUAUGCACGCAUGUUAUACAGAAGCGAUGUAAAAUAACAUGUAUUUGUUCUACAUGUAUAAAGAUAAUUAUAUUGAAGUUUACACAUUUA